This 119-nucleotide ribosomal RNA is filed under the name Scophthalmus maximus (turbot). Lineage: Eukaryota; Metazoa; Chordata; Actinopteri; Pleuronectiformes; Scophthalmidae. The record is from RNAcentral.
AAGCACGGCCACACCGCCUGGUUCACGCCCGAUCUCGUUUGAUCUCGGAAGCUAAGAUAGGUUGGGCCUGGUUAGUACUUGGAUGGGAGACCGCCUAGGAAUACCAGGUGCUGUAAGGC